GACGAACGCUGGCGGCGUGCUUAACACAUGCAAGUCGAACGGAAAGGCCCUGCUUUUGUGGGGUGCUCGAGUGCGAACGGGUGAGUAACCCGUGAGUAACCUGCCCUUGACUUUGGGAUAACUUCAGGAAACUGGGGCUAAUACCGGAUAGGAGCUCCUGCUGCCUGGUGGGGGUUGGAAAGUUUCGGCGGUUGGGGAUGGACUCGCGGCUUAUCAGCUUGUUGGUGGGGUAGUGGCUUACCAAGGCUUUGACGGGUAGCCGGCCUGAGAGGGUGACCGGCCACAUUGGGACUGAGAUACGGCCCAGACUCCUACGGGAGGCAGCAGUGGGGAAUAUUGCACAAUGGGCGGAAGCCUGAUGCAGCAACGCCGCGUGCGGGAUGACGGCCUUCGGGUUGUAAACCGCUUUCGCCUGUGACGAAGCGUGAGUGACGGUAAUGGGUAAAGAAGCACCGGCUAACUACGUG
Molecule: ribosomal RNA, 467 nt
Filed under: uncultured bacterium
Lineage: Bacteria
Description: partial 16S ribosomal RNA
Rfam family: Bacterial small subunit ribosomal RNA
Source: RNAcentral